Molecule: ribosomal RNA, 466 nt
Filed under: uncultured bacterium
Lineage: Bacteria
Description: partial 16S ribosomal RNA
Rfam family: Bacterial small subunit ribosomal RNA
Source: RNAcentral
GACGAACGCUGGCGGCGUGCUUAACACAUGCAAGUCGAACGGAAAUGCCCUGCUUGCAGGGUACUCGAGUGGCGAACGGGUGAGUAACACGUGGGUGAUCUGCUCUGCACUUCGGGAUAAGCUUGGGAAACUGGGUCUAAUACCGGAUAGGAGCCAUCUUUAGUGUGGUGGUUGGAAAGUUUUUUCGGUGUAGGAUGAGCUCGCGGCCUAUCAGCUUGUUGGUGGGGUAAUGGCCUACCAAGGCGGCGACGGGUAGCCGGCCUGAGAGGGUGUACGGCCACAUUGGGACUGAGAUACGGCCCAGACUCCUACGGGAGGCAGCAGUGGGGAAUAUUGCACAAUGGGGGCAAGCCUGAGGCAGCGACGCCGCGUGGGGGAUGAAGGCCUUCGGGGUGUAAACUCCUUUCGCUAGGGACGAAGCUUUUUUGUGACGGUACCUAGAGAAGAAGCACCGGCUAACUACGUG